UAAAAGAAAUGCAAAAAAACAAAACAAUGCACAUACAUGUGGUCGUAAAAGUUUUGCACGAAUUAGGAAAGAAAUAGAAAAUGAAACUGGGAAAGAGCCGGAUCGUCUUACAAUGUGGGAUGCAACUCAUAAAAAGAAAGAUGGUAGCUAUGUAAAUGAAGAAUUUAGAAAGAAAUUGGAAGCAGCACAUGAUCUCCAAGUUAGUUACACAAGCUCAAGUGCAAAUUUUGAACAAAAUGAAAUCAAUGAAAUGGUAUUUCAAAAGAUUUAUGGAGCUGAACAUAAUGGUAGGGUGCGUGGUUUGGGAUUAG
This is a long non-coding RNA of Dioscorea cayenensis subsp. rotundata (Guinea yam), 311 nucleotides long. RefSeq lists it as uncharacterized. Lineage: Eukaryota; Viridiplantae; Streptophyta; Magnoliopsida; Dioscoreales; Dioscoreaceae. The transcript has 3 exons. The record is from RefSeq and is a predicted model, not a curated record.